This 422-nucleotide long non-coding RNA is filed under the name Androctonus crassicauda. Lineage: Eukaryota; Metazoa; Arthropoda; Arachnida; Scorpiones; Buthidae. The record is from RNAcentral.
GGAAUAAAAAAAUUUACUUAUACAUACAAUCUAAAAUAUAAAAGUAUGUUCUGACAUCAUGAGUAAUUAAGAUUGGGUUGCUUCAGCACAGUGAAUGAUAUUUAUACAAGGCAUUCAGGAUGUUGGCUGAAAAACUGUGAAUAUGAAUGAGUAAGCAGCAAUGAGAGCAUCUAGAGAAUGGAGGAAGAGUAAAACAAUUGAAAAACUAUUUUUAAAAUAUAAAAUAUUUGUUGGCCAGGGCCGGCGCAAGCAGGUUCAGCACAUUCGCCAGAACCCGCUCCUGCGUUUUGAGAGGCCCCGUGGUCUAUGAAAAUUACCCAAUUAUAAAACACUGAUUUUGAUUAACUUUUUACAGAAUGAUGAUACCAUUAACAGAUGCAAGACAUUUUUUUAGUAGCAAUGAUUCAGUUUAAAGGAGUGAC